CCUACGGGCGGCAGCAGUGAGGAAUAUUGGUCAAUGGACGAGAGUCUGAACCAGCCAAGUAGCGUGAAGGAUGACUGCCCUAUGGGUUGUAAACUUCUUUUAUAUGGGAAUAAAAUGUUCCACGUGUGGGAUUUUGUAUGUACCAUAUGAAUAAGGAUCGGCUAACUCCGUGCCAGCAGCCGCGGUAAUACGGAGGAUCCGAGCGUUAUCCGGAUUUAUUGGGUUUAAAGGGAGCGUAGGUGGAUUGUUAAGUCAGUUGUGAAAGUUUGCGGCUCAACCGUAAAAUUGCAGUUGAAACUGGCAGUCUUGAGUACAGUAGAGGUGGGCUGAAUUCGUGGUGUAGCGGUGAAAUGCUUAGAUAUCACGAAGAACUCCGAUUGCGAAGGCAGUUCACUGGACUGCAACUGACACUGAGGCUCGAAAGUGUGGGUAUCAAACAGGAUUAGAUACCCUAGUAGUC
Molecule: ribosomal RNA, 460 nt
Filed under: uncultured bacterium
Lineage: Bacteria
Description: partial 16S ribosomal RNA
Rfam family: Bacterial small subunit ribosomal RNA
Source: RNAcentral